Molecule: transfer RNA, 66 nt
Filed under: Bulinus truncatus
Lineage: Eukaryota; Metazoa; Mollusca; Gastropoda; Planorbidae
Description: tRNA-Gly
Source: RNAcentral
GUUUUUUGUAAUAUAAAUUAUUAUAUUUACCUUCCAAGUAAACUAUCUCAAAUGAGCUUAAAAGUA